CUGCUGCCUCCCGUAGGAGUCUGGGCCGUGUCUCAGUCCCAGUGUGGGGGGCCUUCCUCUCAGAACCCCUACGCAUCGUCGCCACGGUGGGCCGUCACCCCGCCGUCUAGCUAAUGCGCCGCAUGCCCAUCCGCCACCGGAUCGCUCCUUUGGCCACCGGAGGAUGCCCUCCGGUGGCGUCACGGGGUAUUAGGCCGCGUUUCCGCGGGUUACCCCCCUGUGGCGGCCAGGUUGCAUACGUGUUACUCACCCGUGCGCCGGUCGCCGGCGGG
RNAcentral lists this ribosomal RNA (272 nucleotides) under uncultured bacterium. RNAcentral describes it as "partial 16S ribosomal RNA". The record is from RNAcentral.